This is an RNA transcript of Schistocerca gregaria, 1230 nucleotides long. It is a transcript of the gene named fas-associated death domain protein, with no coding region annotated. The transcript is spliced from 6 exons. The record is from RefSeq and is a predicted model, not a curated record. NCBI's taxonomy places the organism in Eukaryota, Metazoa, Arthropoda, Insecta, Orthoptera, Acrididae.
UGUAUAUCGCUGUCUGACAUCUUUGAUCGUGUUUGGCGCAGGUGACUACUGUGUAGUGUGUGUAUAUGUUCUUAGUUGUGAUGUUUAUAUGUGAUUUGGCAUAAUAUUUAUUAUUUUGUAAACAUGCCACCAAAUAUAAACACAUACAUUCAGUUAAGGGAAUUUAUAAAAUCGAAGUCGAACUAUGUUAGUCCACCAGAACUCAAUAAUUUUGUAUUAGAAUACGCGCAGAUAAUAAACUCAAAAAGACGUUGUAGCUCGAUAAAAAAUUUGGAAGAACUGAUUUGUUUGUUAGAAAAACGAGAUUAUAUAAGCCCGGACAACAUGAAACCUCUGCAGUAUAUUAGGGACAGAAUCCGCGAUCCACAACGCUUGCAUUCGUUCAGUGAUAAUGGAGAUUCAAUAUCAAAUGGAAUCGACGACGAUUUUUAUGGAAGACGGAUGUCGAACAGUACUGAGAGUCAGAAUGGCGUCUUCAGAACGCGAUCUCUUCCGCCUAGAGUGUUGGAGUUAGUGAGUGAAGAAAUUGGAAGAAAGUGGAAAGAUCUAGCCCGCCAGUUGGGCCUGAGAGAAGGCAAAAUGAACGAGAUUGAAGCAAGAUACCCUAAUAAUCUUAAGGAUAGGGUGUAUGCCUGUUUGGCCACAUUCCAAGAAAAUUGUCCUGAUGGCAUGGAGAAAAAAUUUCUGGAAGCAUUAGAGAAAGCCCGCAGAAAAGAUCUAAGGGACCAGGUUGAGGCAAUACUGAGGCCGUACUGAGGUUACAAAUGUUGUUCAGUGUAAUGACCAUCUGCAUCCAUGACAGCCUGAAACCACACUAGAGACUGCUCUACUGCUGCCCGAAAUAUCUCGGGUGUGAUGUUGGCUACCUCUCUCAUUAUGCUUAUCUUCAAUCUUUUAAUGUACAUCUACAUCUACAUUGCUACUCUGGAAGCCACCAUAAGAUAAAUCAUAGCCUACAGUAUGGGUCUCCAUCAGAUCAGCGAUCUGCUUAUUUAAAAAUAUUCCAAGGUGAAGAAAUGUUGUGACAUUCAUAGGCUUCAUUUCUUGAGUCCAUGAAUGUGAUAAUAUUGUGAUAUGAGUGCCUAAGCUAAAUUGUAUGUUGUAAAUGAAAUCUUAUUUUUGUAAAUGAAGUGAAUAAUUAAUCUGAAGUAAAUUUAAUAUUGUGGUACAUUUCAGAAUCAAUACAGAGUUCUCUUGCAUUUUGAUUAAAGGUUAAGACUAUGUAUGUCA